AGUGAACGCUGGCGGUAGGCCUAACACAUGCAAGUCGAACGGCAGCACAGUAAGAGCUUGCUCUUACGGGUGGCGAGUGGCGGACGGGUGAGGAAUACAUCGGAAUCUACUUUUUCGUGGGGGGUAACCGAGGGGAAACUUACGCAAUUACGGCAUCGGCCCUCCGGGGGAAGGAAGGGAACCUCCGGCCCUUGCGCGAUGGAAUAGGCCGAUGUCGGAUUAGCUAGUUGGCGGGGUAAGGGCCCACCAAGGCGACGAUCCGUAGCUGGUCGGAGAGGAUGAUCAGCCACACUGGAACUGAGACACGGUCCAGACUCCUACGGGAGGCAGCAGUGGGGAAUAUUGGACAAUGGGCGCAAGCCUGAUCCAGCCAUACCGCGUGGGUGAAGAAGGCCUUCGGGUUGUAAAGCCCUUUUGUUGGGAAAGAAAAGCAGCAGGUUAAUACCCCGCUGUUCUGACGGGACCCAAAGAAUAAGCACCGGCUAACUUCGU
This 492-nucleotide ribosomal RNA is filed under the name uncultured bacterium. RNAcentral's name for it is "partial 16S ribosomal RNA". It matches the Rfam family "Bacterial small subunit ribosomal RNA", at positions 29 to 506 of the family's 1533-position model. The record is from RNAcentral.